CCUACGGGAGGCAGCAGUGAGGAAUAUUGGUCAAUGGGCGGGAGCCUGAACCAGCCAAGUCGCGUGAGGGAAGACGGUCCUAUGGAUUGUACACCUCUUUAGGCGGGGAGCAAAGCCGGGCACGUGUGCCCGGAAGGAGAGUACCCGCAGAAUAAGCAUCGGCUAACUCCGUGCCAGCAGCCGCGGUAAUACGGAGGAUGCGAGCGUUAUCCGGAUUUAUUGGGUUUAAAGGGUGCGUAGGCGGAUUUUUAAGUCAGCGGUAAAAUGUCGGGGCUCAACCCGGGCCGGCCGUUGAAACUGGGGAUCUUGAGUGGGCGAGAAGUAUGCGGAAUGCGUGGUGUAGCGGUGAAAUGCAUAGAGAUCACGCAGAACUCCGAUUGCGAAGGCAGCAUACCGGCGCCCGACUGACGCUGAGGCACGAAAGCGUGGGGAUCGAACAGGAUUAGAUACCCGUGUAGUC
Molecule: ribosomal RNA, 460 nt
Filed under: uncultured bacterium
Lineage: Bacteria
Description: partial 16S ribosomal RNA
Rfam family: Bacterial small subunit ribosomal RNA
Source: RNAcentral